RNAcentral lists this ribosomal RNA (492 nucleotides) under uncultured bacterium. RNAcentral describes it as "partial 16S ribosomal RNA". It matches the Rfam family "Bacterial small subunit ribosomal RNA", at positions 29 to 507 of the family's 1533-position model. The record is from RNAcentral.
AGUGAACGCUGGCGGUAGGCCUAACACAUGCAAGUCGAACGGCAGCACAGUAAGAGCUUGCUCUUACGGGUGGCGAGUGGCGGACGGGUGAGGAAUACAUCGGAAUCCACUUUUUCGUGGGGGAUAACGUAGGGAAACUUACGCUAAUACCGCAUACGACCUACGGGUGAAAGCAGGGGAUCUUCGGACCUUGCGCGAUUGAAUGAGCCGAUGUCGGAUUCGCUAGUUGGCGGGGCAAAGGCCCACCAAGGCGACGAUCCGUAGCUGGUCUGAGGGGAUGGACAGCCACACUGGAACUGAGACACAGUCCAGACUCCUACAGGAGGAAGCAGUGGGGAAUAUUAGGCAAUGGGCGCGAGCCUGAUCCAGCCAUACCGCGUGGGUGAAGAAGGCCUUCGGGUUGUAGAGCCCUUUUGUUGGGAAAGAAGAGCAGCAGGUUAAUACCCCGCUGUUCUGACGGUACCCAAAGAAUAAGCACCGGCUAACUUCGUG